UAUAAGUGCAACCAUGAGUUUCCGUGACUAACUUUGAUCGUCCGUCUUGUUUGAAAUUUCUUUAUAAUUAGUAUUUUUAAUAUUAUGAGAUGAUAAAACAUGAAUAGUACUUUAUGCGUGAUUUAUGUUUUUAAAUUUUUUUCAAAAAUUUUUAAAUAAGACGAACGAUCAAAGUUGGAUACGGAAAAUCAUAGUUGCACUUAUG
Molecule: non-coding RNA, 205 nt
Organism: Oryza meridionalis
Lineage: Eukaryota; Viridiplantae; Streptophyta; Magnoliopsida; Poales; Poaceae
Source: Rfam